GGAAGAUUUUCAAGGCGGAGUUUGAAUUUCCUUCAUGGUUUUCUUCAGAAGCCAAGGAAAUGGUAUCUAAGCUUCUGGUUGUUGAUCCUCAAAAGAGAGCUUCAAUGGUUCAGAUAAUGCAGAGUCCUUGGUUUCAAAAGGGCUUCACAAAGCCAGUUUCCUUCAUUGAGAAAGAUGAAUUCAACGAUGAAUUCUCUGAAUUGGCAAAUCCCAAGUUGUUGUCCUCUUCUCCUCCUUUUUACAAUGCCUUUGAGUUCAUUUCCUCAAUGUCCUCUGGUUUUGACUUGUCUAGUUUGUUUGAAAGCAAGAAGAAACAAGGCUCCAUUUUCACUUCGAAAUGCUCUGCUUCAGCCAUUAUAGCCAAGCUUCAGUCUCUGGCCGUGAAGCUCAACUUCAAGGCUACUAAUCUGAAGGAGUUCAAGGUGAGGCUGCAGGCCAAGGAGGAAGGGAGGAAAGGGAAGUUGACGGUGACCGCAGAGGUUUACGAGGCGGCUCCGGAGCUGGCAGUGGUUGAGUUCUCAAAGUCGGCCGGCGACACUUUGGAGUACAAUAACUUCUGUGAGAAGGAUGUGAGGCCUGCAUUGAAAGACAUAGUUUGGAGCUGGCAAGGAGAGAGUGAGUGCCUAUAACAGUGGCUUCUUUGCAAAAUGACCAUUGAGGGAGAAAAAUAAUCCAUUUUUAUGCAUUAUGAACAUAGGUUUCUCUUUGAAGUUCCCUUUUUGAUGUGUUUGGGAGGAGGGAAGAAUGUAUAGAAUAGCAUUGAAUAGUUUUGGUUUAGAUUAGAAGACUGGGAGUUGAUAGCUAUGUGUUUGGAAUUGGUCAACUUUGUGAAUACUUUAUAGGAUUUGCUUGUAAAAUACAUGGCUUUGUUGAAGAGUGAUCAGUUUAUUAGUCUUGAUAAAUUUCAUCUAACAAAUUUG
This 920-nucleotide unclassified non-coding RNA is filed under the name Hevea brasiliensis (rubber tree). The record is from RNAcentral. Lineage: Eukaryota; Viridiplantae; Streptophyta; Magnoliopsida; Malpighiales; Euphorbiaceae.